GAGUUUGAUCCUGGCUCAGAACGAACGCUGGCGGCGUGGAUUAGGCAUGCAAGUCGUGCGGGAACUUACAGAGUGGAGGCUUCGGCCAAAGCAUUGUAAGGGAGAGUGGCGAAAGGGUGAGUAACACGUGGGUAAUUUGCCCUCGAGAUCGGGAUAACUUCGCGAAAGCGGGGCUAAUACCGGAUAAGACCACUAUGAACAUAAGUUCAGGUGGUAAAAGGCGGCCUAGGUCUUCGGACUGCUGUCACUUGAGGAGAAGCCCGCGUCCUAUUAGCUUGUUGGUGAGGUAACGGCUCACCAAGGCGAUGAUGGGUAGCUGGUCUGAGAGGAUGAUCAGCCACACUGGGACUGAGACACUGCCCAGACUCCUACGGGAGGCUGCAGUCGAGAAUCAUUCGCAAUGGGCGAAAGCCUGACGAUGCGACGCCGCGUGAGCGAUUAAGGCCUUCGGGUUGUAAAGCUCUGUCGCGUGGGAAGAAUGGUGAUUAGGUUAAUAGCCUUUUUAUUUGACGGUACCAUGUAAGGAAACCUCGGCUAACUCCGUGCCAGCAGCCGCGGUAAUACGGAGGAGGUAAGCGUUGUUCGGAUUUAUUGGGCGUAAAGGGCGUGUAGGCGGUUAUGUUAGUCAGACGUGAAAUCCCUCUGCUUAACAGAGGAACUGCGUUUGAAACUGCAUAACUUGAGAUCAGAAGAGGAGAGCGGAAUUCUUGGUGUAAGAGUGAAAUCUGUAGAUAUCAAGAGGAACACCGGUGGCGAAGGCGGCUCUCUGGUCUGAUACUGACGCUGAGGCGCGAAAGCUAGGGGAGCGAACGGGAUUAGAUACCCCGGUAGUCCUAGCCGUAAACGAUGGACACUAGGUGUGGGGGGUUAAUACCUUCUGUGCCGAAGUUAACGCAUUAAGUGUCCCGCCUGGGGAGUACGGCCGCAAGGCUGAAACUCAAAGGAAUUGACGGGGGCCCGCACAAGCGGUGGAGCAUGUGGUUUAAUUCGAUGCUACGCGAAGAACCUUACCAGGACUUGACAUGCUGGAAGUAGAAACCCGAAAGGGUAACCACUCGUAUCCAGUCGAGAGCCAGCACAGGUGCUGCAUGGCUGUCGUCAGCUCGUGUCGUGAGAUGUCGGGUUAAGUCCCAUAACGAGCGCAACCCUUGUCCUUAGUUGCAACCUGACCUUCGGGUUAGGGCACUCUAAGGAGACUGCCGUAGUUUAAUACGGAGGAAGGUGGGGAUGACGUCAAGUCAGUAUGGUCCUUACGUCCUGGGCUACACACGUGCUACAAUGGCCUGUACAAAGGGUUGCCAAACCGUGAGGUGGAGCCAAUCCCAAAAAGCAGGUCCCAGUUCGGAUUGAAGGCUGCAACUCGCCUUCAUGAAGUCGGAAUCGCUAGUAAUCCUGGAUCAGCUAUGCCAGGGUGAAUACGUUCCCGGGCCUG
Molecule: ribosomal RNA, 1432 nt
Filed under: uncultured bacterium
Lineage: Bacteria
Description: partial 16S rRNA
Rfam family: Bacterial small subunit ribosomal RNA
Source: RNAcentral